Long non-coding RNA from Medicago truncatula (barrel medic), 473 nucleotides. RefSeq lists it as uncharacterized. NCBI's taxonomy places the organism in Eukaryota, Viridiplantae, Streptophyta, Magnoliopsida, Fabales, Fabaceae. The transcript is spliced from 3 exons. The record is from RefSeq and is a predicted model, not a curated record.
GCUAAUUCUAUAUUUGUUACACGCAAAGGUUAUAAAAAUGAUUGAAAUUUACAAGUUUGUUUAUGUUGUGAUCUUUUUUGUUUCUCUUUUUCUUGUUGUAGUCGACAGUGGAAAAAGGAUCGGUGGAGAAAAUAGACAUAGACAAUGUGUCGAUGACCACGACUGUUAUAAAAUAUUUUCUUGUCCUCGUGAAAUUGCAUUUAAGUGCGUUAAUGGUUGGUGUAAAUGCACGCUCUAGUUAAGUGUGGAGUUUGUUAGGCGACAAGCCAACGCGGUUGCUCAUGUACUUGCAAGAGAAGUCAUGUUCUAAGUUAGUUCCACUAUUUAUUAUGAUAUACUCGAAUGUAUUGAAUUCUUAAUUAUCAAUGAAAUGCUAUAAGCAUGUUUCCUUAAAAAAAAAAAAAAUGUUCAAUAUCAUGUUUUCUUAAAAAAAAUAAAAUUAACAAGCAACAAUUGAAUAUAUUAGUGUCAUA